UACGUAGGGGGCAAGCGUUGUCCGGAAUCAUUGGGCGUAAAGAGCGUGUAGGCGCCUGGCAAGUCUCGCGUGAAAUCUUGCGGCUCAACCGCAAGCGGUCGUGAGAAACUGCCUGGCUAGAAUCCGGAAGAGGAGAGCGGAAUUCCUGGUGUAGCGGUGGAAUGCGCAGAUAUCAGGAAGAACACCCGUGGCGAAGGCGGCUCUCUGGGACGGUAUUGACGCUGAGACGCGAAAGCGUGGGGAGCGAACAGG
Molecule: ribosomal RNA, 252 nt
Filed under: uncultured bacterium
Lineage: Bacteria
Description: partial 16S ribosomal RNA
Rfam family: Bacterial small subunit ribosomal RNA
Source: RNAcentral